Molecule: long non-coding RNA, 288 nt
Filed under: Lathyrus oleraceus (garden pea)
Lineage: Eukaryota; Viridiplantae; Streptophyta; Magnoliopsida; Fabales; Fabaceae
Description: Pisum sativum (pea) long non-coding RNA (PSAT_LNC024447)
Source: RNAcentral
UUUAAUCAUGCACCAUAUAGAGGAUUAGUGAGUUCCAAUACUAACAAACUAUACAAGAUCCAAAACAAUCUCAUAGUUAUCAAUAUCUUAAACGAACCGAAAAAUCCAAAUCAAUUCAUGUCCAUAAUCAAAAUUCCCUUUAAACCAUAAACCAUACCAUAAAAUCCAAUUCAAACUCACCGAUACCAAAAACCGCAUUGAAUCAUAUCUGCAUCAAGAAUCCAAUCAUAAACCAUUUCCUAAAACCAAUUCGAAUAUCCACACAUCACAUAACCAGUUCUAUCUCCA